AGUCUGGUGCCAGCAGCCGCGGCAAUUCCAGCUCCAAUAGCGUAUAUUAAAGUUGUUGUAGUUAAAAAGCUCGUAGUUGGAUCUCGGGUCCAGGCUCGCGGUUCGCCUCGCGGCGAUCACUGCCCGUCCUGACCUACCUCCCGGUUUUCCCUUGGUGCUCUUCGUUGAGUGCUUCGGGUGGCCGGAACGUUUACUUUGAAAAAAUUAGAGUGCUCAAAGCAGGCGGACUGCCUGAAUAAUCGCGCAUGGAAUAAUGGAAUAGGACCUCGGUUCUAUUUUGUUGGUUUUCGGAACUCGAGGUAAUGAUUAAGAGGGACAGACGGGGGCAUUCGUAUUACGGUGUUAGAGGUGAAAUUCUUGGAUCGCCGUAAGACGAACUACUGCGAAAGCAUUUGCCAAGAAUGUUUUCAUUAAUCAAGAACGAAAGUCAGAGGUUCGAAGACGAUCAGAUACCGUCGUAGUUCUGACCAUAAACGAUGCCAACUGGCGAUCCGCGGGCGUUGAUCUAAUGGCCCCGCGGGCAGCCUCCGGGAAACCAAAGUUUUUGGGUUCCGGGGGAAGUAUGGUUGCAAAGCUGAAACUUAAAGGAAUUGACGGAAGGGCACCACCAGGAGUGGAGCCUGCGGCUUAAUUUGACCCAACACGGGAAAACUCACCCGGCCCGGACACCGUAAGGAUUGACAGAUUGAGAGCUCUUUCUUGAUUCGGUGGGUGGUGGUGCAUGGCCGUUCCUAGUUGGUGGAGCGAUUUGUCUGGUUAAUUCCGAUAACGAACGAGACUCUAGCCUGCUAAAUAGUUCACCGAUUCACCGAGUCGGUGUUAACUUCUUAGAGGGACAAGUGGCGUUUAGCCACACGAGAUAGAGCAAUAACAGGUCUGUGAUGCCCUUAGAUGUUCGGGGCCGCACGCGCGCUACACUGAAGGAAUCAGCGUGUGUUCUCCCUGAUCCGAAAGGACCGGGUAACCCGUUGAACCUCCUUCGUGCUAGGGAUUGUGGCUUGCAAUUGUUCCACAUGAACGAGGAAUUCCCAGUAAGCGCGAGUCAUAAGCUCGCGUUGAUUACGUCCCUGCCCUUUGUACACACCGCCCGUCGCUACUACCGAUUGGAUGGUUUAGUGAGAUCCUCGGAUUGGACCCGGCGCGGCGGGCAACCGUCGUGCCGGUGUUCCGAAAAGACGAUCAAACUUGAUCAUCUAGA
Molecule: ribosomal RNA, 1198 nt
Filed under: metagenome
Description: SSU rRNA
Rfam family: Eukaryotic small subunit ribosomal RNA
Source: RNAcentral